AGAGUUUGAUCCUGGCUCAGAACGAACGCUGGCGGCGUGCCUAAUACAUGCAAGUCGAACGAGAAAGUGGGCAACCAUGAGUAAAGUGGCAGACGGGUGAGUAAUACAUAGGUAACCUACCUCCAAGAUGGGGAUAACCUUCCGAAAGGAGGGCUAAUACCGAAUGAGACCACAGUUACUUCGGUAACAGGGGUCAAAGG
Molecule: ribosomal RNA, 200 nt
Filed under: uncultured bacterium
Lineage: Bacteria
Description: partial 16S ribosomal RNA
Rfam family: Bacterial small subunit ribosomal RNA
Source: RNAcentral